This 668-nucleotide long non-coding RNA is filed under the name Fukomys damarensis (Damara mole-rat). Its description in RNAcentral is "lncRNA (ENSFDAG00000028796.1)". The record is from RNAcentral. Lineage: Eukaryota; Metazoa; Chordata; Mammalia; Rodentia; Bathyergidae.
CACUUGUGUGUGUUUCAUUUAGUUUCAUUUCCAAAACUAUUUUAUUAAUGACUCAAGAACUGAAAUUUAUUUAGGAUUUUUCCACUUUAAAUUUAUUUAUUCAAAGUAAUAGAGACGUUGUCUUCAGUGUUCUAAGGAACUGGAAUUCAAAAAGGACCAAAAAUGGUAAUAAGUCAGGGUAAAGUCUUUUAUAUGGUUUCACUGAUUAAUCACGAAUUUUACAGAGCAAUGCAUAUAUACGAUGAAAAAGAGAAUUAACAGGCUGUAAUACAGUAUUGGCAGCAGCGGAGCUAAGGUCAGGCGAAGUUGAGCAGCAACCUUAUUGCUAGCCAUUCUUCCUUGCAGAUCUCAGCUGUAAUCCAUAGAGAUUGUUAAAGCCUCAGGUGAAGGAUGGGCGACAACGGUGGCUGUUAUCCUGAGGAGCAGAUGGUAGAGUGAGUGACACCUAUAAAUGUGCAGGCUGUGCUGCUUCAGUGACAAGAUGCUAAACCCUUCUGGCACCGAAGUAAAAAGACAGCCACAGGACGAAUUCUAUGACCAGGCCUCUCCAGACAAGCGGACCGAAGCAGACGGCAACUCUGACCCCAACUCCGGUGAGUCUUUUAAAAAUUUUGACCCUUUGGAGUUGUGGUUUCGUUGCACAGGUGAGCAUUAAACAGUGAUAUGAG